CGUGGUGGGAGACAGUGUCAGGCGGGCAGUUUGACUGGGGCGGUCGCCUCCUAAAAGGUAACGGAGGCGCUCAAAGGUUCCCUCAGAAUGGUUGGAAAUCAUUCAUAGAGUGUAAAGGCAUAAGGGAGCUUGACUGCGAGACCUACAAGUCGAGCAGGGUCGAAAGACGGACUUAGUGAUCCGGUGGUUCCGCAUGGAAGGGCCAUCGCUCAACGGAUAAAAGCUACCCCG
RNAcentral lists this ribosomal RNA (231 nucleotides) under Staphylococcus aureus. RNAcentral's name for it is "partial 23S ribosomal RNA". It matches the Rfam family "Bacterial large subunit ribosomal RNA", at positions 2240 to 2470 of the family's 2925-position model. Lineage: Bacteria; Bacillati; Bacillota; Bacilli; Caryophanales; Staphylococcaceae. The record is from RNAcentral.